Bombus huntii is the source of this 738-nucleotide long non-coding RNA. RefSeq lists it as uncharacterized. The transcript is spliced from 4 exons. The record is from RefSeq and is a predicted model, not a curated record. Lineage: Eukaryota; Metazoa; Arthropoda; Insecta; Hymenoptera; Apidae.
GACAAAUUUUAGAACAUUAUAUAACGAAGAACCAGAUCGUCGUGGCCAUGUGAUGUGAAUAAAAGGACUUGAAUUUGAUGAUAUUUUUAUAAUGUUAGAUAACAUAACUAAGUAUCUUCACAGUAAGAUAGGAUGACAUGGUUUACAUGAUCUUAAUGUUGUUCACUCGAGUGAUGAUAUUAUAAGGAAAAGCGUAAUAUCACAGGAUAUUUAUGUUUAGUAACCAGUAAUUCAGAGAUUGGUAUUCAUGGUUACUAUAACGAGGCUGUAGAAACGCACCCUUUCUUCUUUGCAAAUGGUCCUGUAUUUAUGUCUAAGCCGAAACUGGAACCUCUGAAUAAUUUAGAUUUAUUCUUGUUAUUUUCUAAAAUACUUAUCUACAGUAUACCAUAAGGAAUGAUACCGUAUCACACCUAAUCAAGUGCCUUAAGAAACAUCAACAGGAUAUCACAGUAAUCCCUUAUCGACUGAUAUUUGUAGCCACUACAAUAUCUAUGACACUGGUAGUAAUUAUAAGAACAAUAAUGAUAUUCUAUAAGAGGAAAUGAUGAUUAGGAACAAAAACUUACAGGAGAUAUCAUGCGGUGGAUGGAUAAUAUGUAAAAAAUAUUAAGCAGUAUAUGAAUUUUCAUAUUGCGUAGAGAUAACAAAAUGAAUUUUAAAAAAUGUCGACAUGGUAAUAAGAAAUAGCAUCAUGACAAAGAAUAUAUAAACACAGUUUCAUUUUUUAUAAAUAAA